AAUGAACGCUGGCGGCAUGCCUAACACAUGCAAGUCGAACGAGACCUCAGGGACAAGUGGCGCUUGCGUGUGUCACGUGUGGGAAGCUUCACUUAGGCAUGGAAUAACUCUCUGACAGGGGUGAUAAUAUCGGAAAAUGUCUUCUAACAAAAGAUAUAUCGUACUUGUUUGGGCACGCGUUGGAUUAGCUUGUUGGUAUGGUAAAAGCCUAUCAAGGCGACGAUCCAUAGCUGGUUUGAGAGGAUGAUCAGCCACACUGGGACUGAGACACGGCCCAGACUCCUACGGGAGGCAGCAGUGGGGAAUAUAGGACAAUGGGCUAAAGCCUGAUCCAGCAAUGCCGCGUGAGUGAUGAAGGCCGUAGGGUUGUAAAGCUCUUUUACCCGGGAUGAUAAUGACAGUACCGGGAGAAUAAGCUCCGGCUAACUCCGUG
This 433-nucleotide ribosomal RNA is filed under the name uncultured bacterium. RNAcentral describes it as "partial 16S ribosomal RNA". It matches the Rfam family "Bacterial small subunit ribosomal RNA", at positions 29 to 507 of the family's 1533-position model. The record is from RNAcentral.